CUGAGGUGCCAUACGCACAGUCAAAGCUUCUUCAGGAUCAUCUGCUUAUCUUGAGUUUGUGGUGAUAUUAAUAUUGAAUGUUUAAAUGAUCUGAAUCUGCCAGUACUAGGGUAGCAUGAGACAAGAUUUCUAAGAUUAAGAAUAAGUAAAUGUGCCCUAGCCAAGGUUAUUAUGUCCAUACACAUAACACAUGACAAUCCCCAAGGUACUCUUGACACACCUCAUUCAUGCUUCAGGAC
Pelobates cultripes (western spadefoot toad) is the source of this 239-nucleotide non-coding RNA. NCBI's taxonomy places the organism in Eukaryota, Metazoa, Chordata, Amphibia, Anura, Pelobatidae. The record is from the annotation of a GenBank genome assembly.